GACGAACGCUGGCGGCGUGCUUAACACAUGCAAGUCGAACGAAGAGCGAUGGAAGCUUGCUUCUAUCAAUCUUAGUGGCGAACGGGUGAGUAACGCGUAAUCAACCUGCCCUUCAGAGGGGGACAACAGUUGGAAACGACUGCUAAUACCGCAUACGAUCUAAUCUCGGCAUCGAGGAUAGAUGAAAGGUGGCCUCUACAUGUAAGCUAUCACUGAAGGAGGGGAUUGCGUCUGAUUAGCUAGUUGGAGGGGUAACGGCCCACCAAGGCGAUGAUCAGUAGCCGGUCUGAGAGGAUGAACGGCCACAUUGGGACUGAGACACGGCCCAGACUCCUACGGGAGGCAGCAGUGGGGAAUCUUCCGCAAUGGACGAAAGUCUGACGGAGCAACGCCGCGUGAGUGAGGGCGGCCGUCGGGUUGUAAAGCUCUGUUAAUCGGGACGAAAGGCCUUCUUGCGAAUAGUGAGAAGGAUUGACGGUACCGGAAUAGAAAGCCACGGCUAACUACGUG
Molecule: ribosomal RNA, 510 nt
Filed under: uncultured bacterium
Lineage: Bacteria
Description: partial 16S ribosomal RNA
Rfam family: Bacterial small subunit ribosomal RNA
Source: RNAcentral